AAGUCGUAACAAGGUUUCCGUAGGUGAACCUGCGGAAGGAUCAUUACCGAGUUAGGGUACUCUUCGUGCCCGACCUCCAACCCUUUGUCUACCUGACCAGAUGUUGCUUCGGCAGGCCCGCCGCCCCGCGAGGAGCAGCCGCCGGGGGUCCUUACCGGCCCCGGGUCCGUGCCUGUCGAUGGCCCUUCUAAAACUCUUGCUUAAACGUGUCGUCUGAGUAAAACAAACAAAAUAAAAACAAAACUUUCAACAACGGAUCUCUUGGUUCUG
RNAcentral lists this unclassified non-coding RNA (270 nucleotides) under uncultured Cyphellophora. RNAcentral's name for it is "sequence contains ITS1". The stretch from base 1 to 46 matches the Rfam family "Eukaryotic small subunit ribosomal RNA", at positions 1786 to 1831 of the family's 1831-position model. The record is from RNAcentral. Lineage: Eukaryota; Fungi; Ascomycota; Eurotiomycetes; Chaetothyriales; Herpotrichiellaceae.